This 738-nucleotide ribosomal RNA is filed under the name Candidatus Collierbacteria bacterium GW2011_GWF1_44_12. RNAcentral describes it as "bacterial SSU rRNA". It matches the Rfam family "Bacterial small subunit ribosomal RNA", at positions 782 to 1532 of the family's 1533-position model. Lineage: Bacteria; Candidatus Collieribacteriota. The record is from RNAcentral.
AGACCCCUGUAGUCCUAGCCGUAAACUAUGAACACUAGCUAUUUCCCGUAAGGGGAGUGGCGUAAGCUAACGCGUUAAGUGUUCCGCCUGGGGAGUACGGCCGCAAGGCUAAAACUCAAAGGAAUUGACGGGGAAACGCACAAUCAGCGUGCCAUGUGGUUUAAUUGGAUACGAAACCUUGAACCUUACCUGGGUUUGACAUGUACCUGCAAAUCUCUGGAAACAGAGACGCCUUCGAGGGUGGUACACAGCUGCUGCAUGGUUGUCGUCAGUUCGUGUCGUGAGGCGUCUAUUUAAGUAUAGUAACGAACGCAACCCCUGUGCUAUGUUAAAUAUCCAUAGCAGACUGCCACGGUUUUUUCCGUGGAGGAAGGAGGGGAUGACGUCAAAUCAUCAUGGCGCUUAUAUCCAGGGCUACACACAUGGCGUAAUGGAUGAGACAACGGGGUGCGAAGCCGCGAGGCGGAGCAAAUCCUAAUAAACUCAUCCUCAGUUCGGAUCGCAGGCUGCAAUUCGCCUGCGUGAAGGGGAGUUGAUAGUAAUCGCAGAUCAGCAACACUGCGGUGAAUACGUUCUCGUUUCUUGUACACACUGCCCGUCAAGUCAACAAAGUCAGUAGUGCCCGAAGUAGGUACCCAUAACCGCAAGGAUUGGGCCUCCUAAGGUAAGACUGGCGAUGGGGGCUAAGUCGUAAUAACAAGGUAUCCGUACUGGAAGGUGCGGAUGGAUCACCUCCUU